CAGUCGCCGCGGUAAUACGAAGGGUGCAAGCGUUACUCGGAAUUACUGGGCGUAAAGCGUGCGUAGGUGGUGGUUUAAGUCCGUUGUGAAAGCCCUGGGCUCAACCUGGGAAUUGCAGUGGAUACUGGGUCACUAGAGUGUGGUAGAGGAUAGUGGAAUUUCCGGUGUAGCAGUGAAAUGCGUAGAGAUCGGAAGGAACAUCUGUGGCGAAGGCGACUAUCUGGGCCAACACUGAUACUGAGGUGCGAAAGCGUGGGGAGCAAACAGGAUUAGAUACCCCAGUAGUCCCUGUCUCUUAUAC
Molecule: ribosomal RNA, 301 nt
Filed under: uncultured bacterium
Lineage: Bacteria
Description: partial 16S ribosomal RNA
Rfam family: Bacterial small subunit ribosomal RNA
Source: RNAcentral